GACGAACGCUGGCGGCGUGCUUAACACAUGCAAGUCGAACGGAAAGGCCCUGCUUUUGUGGGGUGCUCGAGUGGCGAACGGGUGAGUAACACGUGAGUAACCUGCCCUUGACUUUGGGAUAACUUCAGGAAACUGGGGCUAAUACCGGAUAGGAGCUCCUGCUGCAUGGUGGGGGUUGGAAAGUUUCGGCGGUUGGGGAUGGACUCGCGGCUUAUCAGCUUGUUGGUGGGGUAGUGGCUUACCAAGGCUUUGACGGGUAGCCGGCCUGAGAGGGUGACCGGCCACAUUGGGACUGAGAUACGGCCCAGACUCCUACGGGAGGCAGCAGUGGGGAAUAUUGCACAAUGGGCGGAAGCCUGAUGCAGCAACGCCGCGUGCGGGAUGACGGCCUUCGGGUUGUAAACCGCUUUCGCCUGUGACGAAGCGUGAGUGACGGUAAUGGGUAAAGAAGCACCGGCUAACUACGUGCCAGCAGCCGCGGUGAUACGUAGGGUGCGAGCGUUGUCCGGAUUUAUUGGGCGUAAGGGGCUCGUAGGUGGUUGAUCGCGUCGGAAGUGUAAUCUUGGGGCUUAACCCUGAGCGUGCUUUCGAUACGGGUUGACUUGAGGAAGGUAGGGGAGAAUGGAAUUCCUGGUGGAGCGGUGGAAUGCGCAGAUAUCAGGAGGAACACCAGUGGCGAAGGCGGUUCUCUGGGCCUUUCCUGACGCUGAGGUGCGAAAGCGUGGGGAGCGAACAGGCUUAGAUACCCUGGUAGUCCACGCUGUAAACGGUGGGUACUAGGUGUGGGGUCCAUUCCACGGGUUCCGUGCCGUAGCUAACGCUUUAAGUACCCCGCCUGGGGAGUACGGCCGCAAGGCUAAAACUCAAAGGAAUUGACGGGGCCCCGCACAAGCGGCGGAGCAUGCGGAUUAAUUCGAUGCAACGCGUAGAACCUUACCUGGGUUUGACAUGGAUCGGGAGUGCUCAGAGAUGGGUGUGCCUCUUUUGGGGUCGGUUCACAGGUGGUGCAUGCCUGUCGUCAGCCCGUGUCGUGAGAUGUUGGGUUAAGUCCCGCAACGAGCGCAACCCUUGUUCACUGUUGCCAGCACGUUAUGGUGGGGACUCAGUGGAGACCGCCGGGGUCAACUCGGAGGAGGGUGGGGAUGACGUCAAGUCCUCAUGCCCCUUAUGUCCAGGGCUUCACGCAUGCUACAAUGGCUGGUACAGAGAGUGGCGAGCCUGUGAGGGUGAGCGAAUCUCGGAAAGCCGGUCUCAGUUCGGAUUGGGGUCUGCAACUCGACCUCAUGAAGUCGGAGUCGCUAGUAAUCGCAGAUCAGCAACGCUGCGGUGAAUACGUUCCCGGGGCU
This 1346-nucleotide ribosomal RNA is filed under the name uncultured bacterium. Its description in RNAcentral is "bacterial SSU rRNA". It matches the Rfam family "Bacterial small subunit ribosomal RNA", at positions 28 to 1381 of the family's 1533-position model. The record is from RNAcentral.